This is a long non-coding RNA of Pygocentrus nattereri (red-bellied piranha), 638 nucleotides long. RefSeq lists it as uncharacterized. The transcript is spliced from 2 exons. The record is from RefSeq and is a predicted model, not a curated record. NCBI's taxonomy places the organism in Eukaryota, Metazoa, Chordata, Actinopteri, Characiformes, Serrasalmidae.
UCCAGCACCCCCCCGCGACCCUGACGGAGAAGCGGCUUAGAAAAUGGAUGGAUGGAUGGAUGAUUUAGUGAGCUGAAUGUUUAACUAUGGCUGUGCUAAGCCUACCUCAUCAGACAGGGGGAAUGAGACAAGAGGAACGUCCCCUUUAAGGAGGAGCCGAUAAACUUAAACCAUUAGAGGGAGUGAGCCAGACAUUCCUAUCAUCAUCUACAAUGUCUGUCAUGUGAUUUUCUAACAAAACGCUGUCUUUAUCAGAGGCUGAGACAUGCAAGACAAGAAAUGAUAACAAAAAAUAGAUAGGUAGGGCAUAAGGUUAGAAUGUGCAGAAAGUGUUGAAGUGAGGAAAUUUUGAGUACGACUAGACUGGAAAUUCCAAAAAUGAAUAAACAGGGAAAACACCUGAAGGUGGCAGUGAUGCAACAUAUGGCUGCCAACUGCUGCAAAAAUCACAGAAGAAGAUUUGGGGGCGCACACCAUCUUCUGUUGUUUUCAUUGCCACCAUUGCCAUUGGCUUGCUCAUGAAGGCUUGGACCUGGAUUUUCCUGCAAAGCUGAUUUGGGAUGACACCUGUUAUAAAAAGUGAUAUUUAAAUAAAACUUGCACUGGCAAUAAAAAUAUAUUUUUGAACAAAACAUUAA